UGGGGAAUCUUCCGCAAUGGACGAAAGUCUGACGGAGCAACGCCGCGUGAGUGAUGAAGGUCUUCGGAUUGUAAAGCUCUGUUAAUCGGGACGAAAGAGCCUAGUGUGAAUAAUGCUAGGAAGUGACGGUACCGGAAUAGAAAGCCACGGCUAACUACGUGCCAGCAGCCGCGGUAAUACGUAGGUGGCAAGCGUUGUCCGGAAUUAUUGGGCGUAAAGCGCGCGCAGGCGGAUCUGCCAGUCUGUCUUAAAAGUUCGGGGCUUAACCCCGUGAUGGGAUGGAAACUACAGAUCUAGAGUAUCGGAGAGGAAAGUGGAAUUCCUAGUGUAGCGGUGAAAUGCGUAGAUAUUAGGAAGAACACCAGUGGCGAAGGCGACUUUCUGGACGAAAACUGACGCUGAGGCGCGAAAGCCAGGGGAGCGAACGGG
RNAcentral lists this ribosomal RNA (429 nucleotides) under uncultured bacterium. Its description in RNAcentral is "bacterial SSU rRNA". It matches the Rfam family "Bacterial small subunit ribosomal RNA", at positions 355 to 776 of the family's 1533-position model. The record is from RNAcentral. RNAcentral also lists the same sequence under 2 other names.